This is a long non-coding RNA of Mustela erminea (ermine), 198 nucleotides long. RefSeq lists it as uncharacterized. The transcript is spliced from 4 exons. Lineage: Eukaryota; Metazoa; Chordata; Mammalia; Carnivora; Mustelidae. The record is from RefSeq and is a predicted model, not a curated record.
UCUUGAGGACUUUACCUGGAUAGUGUGGUUGGUUGUUCUCCUGGUUCUCCUGGUCAUCAGUGUAACCAUCUGUGUUCUAUUUCUGCGUGUUAGAAAAGCCAAAGGCAAACUUCAGGAAGAAUAUGGCAAACCUCAGGAAGAAAAUGAACAAUUAACUGCAGUGGAAUGUGAGUAGUCUUGGUUUAUAUUUUGGAGGGG